Molecule: ribosomal RNA, 468 nt
Filed under: uncultured bacterium
Lineage: Bacteria
Description: partial 16S ribosomal RNA
Rfam family: Bacterial small subunit ribosomal RNA
Source: RNAcentral
GACGAACGCUGGCGGCGUGCUUAACACAUGCAAGUCGAACGGAAAGACCCUGCUUUUGUGGGGUGCACGAGUGGCGAACGGGUGAGUGACACGUGAGUAACCUGCCCUUGACUUUGGGAUAACUCCUGGAAACAGGGGCUCAUACCGGGGAGAAGCUCCUGCUCCACGUGGGGGGUUGGAAAGUUCCGGCGGUGGUGGAUGGACUCGCGGCUUACCCGCUUGUUUGGGUGGUAGGGGCUUACCAGGGCUUUGACGGGUAGCCGGCCUGGGAGGGUGACCGGCCACAUGGGGACUGAGAUACGGCCCAGAAUCCUACGGGAGGCAGCAGUGGGGAAUAUUGCACAACGGGCGGAAGCCUGAUGCAGCAACGCCGCGUGCGGGAUAACGGCCUUCGGGUUGUAAACCGCUUUCGCCUGUGACGAAGCGUGAGUGACGGUAAUGGGUAAAGAAGCACCGGCUAACUACGUG